This 464-nucleotide ribosomal RNA is filed under the name uncultured bacterium. Its description in RNAcentral is "SSU rRNA". It matches the Rfam family "Bacterial small subunit ribosomal RNA", at positions 26 to 518 of the family's 1533-position model. The record is from RNAcentral.
AGGAUGAACGCUGGCGGCGUGCCUAACACAUGCAAGUCGAACGAGGGGGGCAACCCCCGAGUGGCAGACGGGUGAGUAACGCGUGGUCAACCUACCCUAGAGUGGGGAAUAACUAGCCGAAAGGUUAGCUAAUACCGCAUGAUACGUUUUGGGACAUCCCAGGACGUUGAAAGGAGCAAUCCGCUCGAGGACGGGACCGCGUCCGAUUAGCUAGUUGGUGAGGUAACGGCCCACCAAGGCUCCGAUCGGUAGCUGGUUUGAGAGAGCGACCAGCCACACUGGGACUGAGAAACGGCCCAGACUCCUACGGGAGGCAGCAGUGAGGAAUUUUCCGCAAUGGGCGAAAGCCUGACGGAGCGACGCCGCGUGUGGGAAGAAGGCCUUCGGGUCGUAAACCACUGUCGAAGGGGACUAUACUGAAGGUACCCUUGGAGGAAGCCCGGCUACUACGUGCCAGCAGCCGC